UAGAUACCCUAUUAUUUAGAGUUUAAAUUUUAAAUUCCUAGUAUUAUAAGUUAUGAUCUUUAAAUUGAAAGAGUUUGACGGUAAUUUAAUCAUUUUAGAGGAACCUGUUCUGUAAUUGAUAAUCCACGAUAAAUUUAACCUUAAUAUCUUGCUUGUAUACCUCUGUUUGAUGAAUGUUUUAUAAGAAUAUUUUCUUUGAUUUUUAAUUGAAAAUUAUAUCAGGUCAAGGUGCAGUUUAUGAAGGGUAGAAAUGGGUUACAUUUAAUUUAUUUAAUUAUUGGAUUAUAUUUAUUUAUUUAUUAUAUAAAAUUGGAUUUAAUUGUAAUAGGUAUUAUA
This 336-nucleotide ribosomal RNA is filed under the name Antheminia lunulata. RNAcentral's name for it is "partial 12S ribosomal RNA". Lineage: Eukaryota; Metazoa; Arthropoda; Insecta; Hemiptera; Pentatomidae. The record is from RNAcentral.